AACGAACGCUGGCGGCGUGCUUAACACAUGCAAGUCGAACGCGAAAGGGACUUCGGUCCUGAGUAAAGUGGCGCACGGGUGAGUAACGCGUAGAUAACCUGUCUUCAUGUCUGGAAUAAUACGCCGAAAGGGGUACUAAUACCGGAUAUUCUUGCUUUUCAUAAGUUAUGCAAGCAAAGGUGGCCUCUGCAUAUGCUACUGCAUGAAGAGGGGUCUGCGUACCAUUAGCUAGUAGGUGGGGUAAUGGCCUACCUAGGCGACGAUGGUUAGCGGGUCUGAGAGGAUGAUCCGCCACACUGGCACUGGAACACGGGCCAGACUCCUACGGGAGGUAGCAGUGAGGAAUAUUGCGCAAUGGGGGAAACCCUGACGCAGCGACGCCGCGUGAGUGAAGGAAGGCCUUCGGGUCGUAAAGCUCUGUCAAGAGGAAAGAAGUGUACAAUGGCUAAUACCUGUUGUAUUUGACGGUACCUCUAAAGGAAGCACCGGCUAACUCCGUGCCAGCAGCUGC
RNAcentral lists this ribosomal RNA (511 nucleotides) under uncultured bacterium. RNAcentral describes it as "bacterial SSU rRNA". It matches the Rfam family "Bacterial small subunit ribosomal RNA", at positions 29 to 518 of the family's 1533-position model. The record is from RNAcentral.